AGUUUGUCAGUGCAUCUCAGGCUGGUGAUAUUGAGUUCCUGGAUAUCAGAAAUCCCAGGGAUACAUACCUCACAAUUAAUGCUCACAGGGGCUCACUUACAGCUUUAGCUGUUCAUAGGCAUGCCCCUAUCAUUGCCAGUGGCUCAGCAAAACAAAUUAUUAAAGUAUUCAGCCUGGAGGGUGAUUUACUUGGCACAAUUCGGUAUUACUCGACUUUCAUGGCCCAGAAGAUUGGUCCUGUAAGCUGUCUCGCCUUCCAUCCAUGCCAAGUACUGCUUGCUGCUGGAUCUGCAGAGGCUUGUGUUUCAAUAUAUGCUGAUGACAAUGCUCAAGCAAGAUGAGUGCUCAUUCAUUACUGGUGUUUGAUGGAGUCACCUUGUUGAUGAGCAGCACAAGGAAUGGACUUGUUAUGGUCGUCAAUGGAGUUUUCCGAGUGCAAUUUGCUCAUGAGAUGUGACACUCCAUUGAGCCAAUCCUGCCUCUGGCUGGAACAUGGGUUUGGCUCGAAAUUGUAUGCUACAUAUUCAUUAGCCUCCAGUUUAGAGGGUCAAUCAAGAUGGGAAGAAAUCCUGCAUAUUUAUGGGUGGGCCAGUGGAGGCUUCGCCAAAUAAUUGUUAUAUGGGUAAAUGUGUGUAAAUAGCUUCUUCUCUCUUUUGUAUCUUUCCCUUUUUCGUGUGUUUGUUGAUCUAUCCGUCCCUAUGUGCCUUGUAAAAUCAUAAUUUAAGCAUUGCAGACAGAUGUUGAUAUGGAUACCCCGUCAAUUGCGGGGAAUUCAACAUGCUAAAUAUUCCUCGUGUUUUGAGUAGCCUUUCCCCCACCUCCCCACCGAAAAAAAAAAAGAUGCCUAGGUUGCGGGCCUCUGUUAACCUUCUAGCAGCUUGUAAUUAAAUUCUUAGCUGUGAGAAAUGAGGACGUCCAAUGAGCUUGUCAUUUG
Molecule: unclassified non-coding RNA, 934 nt
Filed under: Hevea brasiliensis (rubber tree)
Lineage: Eukaryota; Viridiplantae; Streptophyta; Magnoliopsida; Malpighiales; Euphorbiaceae
Source: RNAcentral